Molecule: unclassified non-coding RNA, 438 nt
Filed under: uncultured Tomentella
Lineage: Eukaryota; Fungi; Basidiomycota; Agaricomycetes; Thelephorales; Thelephoraceae
Description: sequence contains ITS2
Rfam family: 5.8S ribosomal RNA (bases 1-156)
Source: RNAcentral
AACUUUUAGCAACGGAUCUCUUGGCUCUCGCAUCGACGAAGAACGCAGCGAAUUGCGAUAAGUAAUGUGAAUUGCAGAUUUUCAGUGAAUCAUCGAAUCUUUGAACGCACCUUGCGCCCCUUGGUUAUUCCUUGGGGCAUGCCUGUUUGAGUAUCAUGAACACCUCAACUCUCAUGGUCUUCCAUGACGAGCUUGGACUUUGGGGGUUUGCUGGCCCUGCGGCCGGCUCCCCUCAAAUGAAUCAGCCUCCCAGUGUUUGGUGGCAUCACGGGUGUGAUAAAUAUCUAUGCUCGCGGUUGUCUGCCAGGUAACCUUUGGUGACAAAGGUUUGCUGGAGCUCACAGAUGUCUCUCCUCAGCGAGGACAGCUUUUUGAACGUUCGAUCUCAAAUCAGGUAGGACUACCCGCUGAACUUAAGCAUAUCAAUAAGCGGAGGCU